GCUCCUGUAGCCCAACUGGAAGAAGGUCACCAUCUUAAACAUGGUUUAGUGUGGGUUCAAAUCCCACCAGGAGCA
RNAcentral lists this transfer RNA (75 nucleotides) under Iningainema tapete BLCC-T55. It matches the Rfam family "tRNA". Rfam says of the family: Transfer RNA (tRNA) molecules are approximately 80 nucleotides in length. Their secondary structure includes four short double-helical elements and three loops (D, anti-codon, and T loops). Lineage: Bacteria; Bacillati; Cyanobacteriota; Cyanophyceae; Nostocales; Scytonemataceae. The record is from Rfam by way of RNAcentral.